UGGGGAAUUUUGCACAAUGGGGGAAACCCUGAUGCAGCGACGCCGCGUGAUUUAGAAGGCCUUCGGGUUGUAAAAAUCUUUUCUAUGGGAAGAAAAUGACAGUACCAUAGGAAUAAGGACCGGCUAAUUACGUGCCAGCAGCCGCGGUAAUACGUAAGGUCCGAGCGUUGUCCGGAAUCAUUGGGCGUAAAGGGUACGUAGGCGGGUAAGCAAGUUAGAAGUGAAAUCCUAUAGCCCAACUAUAGAAGCUUUUAAAACUGCUCAUCUUGAGGUAUGGAAGGGAAAGUGGAAUUCCUAGUGUAGCGGUGAAAUGCGCAGAUAUUAGGAGGAAUACCGGUGGCGAAGGCGACUUUCUGGCCAUAACCUGACGCUGAGGUACGAAAGCGUGGGUAGCAAACAGG
This 401-nucleotide ribosomal RNA is filed under the name bacterium. RNAcentral describes it as "partial 16S ribosomal RNA". It matches the Rfam family "Bacterial small subunit ribosomal RNA", at positions 355 to 776 of the family's 1533-position model. The record is from RNAcentral.